Molecule: unclassified non-coding RNA, 317 nt
Filed under: Hevea brasiliensis (rubber tree)
Lineage: Eukaryota; Viridiplantae; Streptophyta; Magnoliopsida; Malpighiales; Euphorbiaceae
Source: RNAcentral
CGACAAUUGCUUUUACUGCAUAUAAUAUGUCUUCUUUCGGCACAUAACCCAGUGGCUCACCUAGACGAGGGAAAGUUGUCUCCAUUCUGUGUGUUCUUCCCAUGCCACCUCCUACAUAAAGAUUAAAGCCUUGAGGUUCUCCGUCAUUGUCAGUAACUACUACAACACCAAUAUCAUUCGUCAAAAUAUCGACUGAGUUGUCUGUGGGCACAGUCACCGCGACCUUGAACUUCCGAGGCAAGAACUGAGUGCCAUAAAUGGGCUCCGGAGAGUCUACAAAAUUUGUACCAUGAGAGUUGUCAUUACGGGCUUCCACG